This 389-nucleotide ribosomal RNA is filed under the name uncultured bacterium. Its description in RNAcentral is "bacterial SSU rRNA". It matches the Rfam family "Bacterial small subunit ribosomal RNA", at positions 29 to 408 of the family's 1533-position model. The record is from RNAcentral.
AACGAACGCUGGCGGCGCGCCUAACACAUGCAAGUCGAACGAGAAUCCGGGGCAACCCGGUAGUAAAGUGGCAAACGGGUGAGGAAUACAUGGGUAACCUACCCUUGAGAAGGGAAUAACCCGCCGAAAGGUGAGCUAAUACCCUAUACGCUAUCUUUUUUCGAAAGGAUAGGAAAGACCGGGUCGGAGGACCUGGUACUCAAGGAGGGGCUCAUGUCCUAUCAGCUUGUUGGUGGGGUAACGGCCUACCAAGGCUACGACGGGUAGCUGGUCUGAGAGGAUGAUCAGCCACACUGGCACUGAGAUACGGGCCAGACUCCUACGGGAGGCAGCAGUGAGGAAUAUUGUGCAAUGGGCGAAAGCCUGACGCAGCGACGCCGCGUGGGGGA